GAGUUUGAUCAUGGCUCAGAUUGAACGCUGGCGGUAGGCUUAACACAUGCAAGUCGUGCGAGAAAGUAUCUUCGGAUAUGAGUAGAGCGGCGGACGGGUGAGUAACGCGUAGGAAUCUACCUAGUAGAAGGGGAUAGCCCGGGGAAACCCGGAUUAAUACCGUAUACCUCCUUCGGGAGAAAGAAGGCCUCUCUUUGAAGCUUUCGCUACUAGAUGAGCCUGCGUAAGAUUAGCUUGUUGGUGAGGUAAAGGCUCACCAAGGCAACGAUCUUUAGCUGGUCUGAGAGGACGAUCAGCCACAUUGGGACUGAGACACGGCCCAGACUCCUACGGGAGGCAGCAGUGGGGAAUCUUGCACAAUGGGCGAAAGCCUGAUGCAGCGAUGCCGCGUGAGUGAAGAAGGCCUUUGGGUUGUAAAGCUCUUUUGUCGGGAAAGAUAAUGACUGUACCCGAAGAAUAAGGUCCGGCUAACUUCGUGCCAGCAGCCGCGGUAAUACGAAGGGACCUAGCGUAGUUCGGAAUUACUGGGCGUAAAGAGUAUGUAGGCGGCUAGAUAAGUUAAUUGUGAAAGCCCAAAGCUUAACUUUGGAACUGCAAUUAAAACUAUUUAGCUGGAGUAUGAUAGAGGAAAGCGGAAUACAUAGUGUAGAGGUGAAAUUCGUAGAUAUUAGAAAGAAUACCAAUUGCGAAGGCAGCUUUCUGGAUCAUUACUGACACUGAGGAACGAAAGCAUGGGUAGCGAAGAGGAUUAGAUACCCUCGUAGUCCAUGCCGUAAACGAUGUGUGUUAGACGUUGGAAAUUUAUUUUCAGUGUCGCAGGGAAACCGAUAAACACACCGCCUGGGGAGUACGACCGCAAGGUUAAAACUCAAAUGAAUUGACGGGGACCCGCACAAGUAGUGGAGCAUGUGGUUUAAUUCGAAGAUACGCGCAGAACCUUACCAACACUUGACAUGUUCGUCGCGACUCUAAGAGAUUAGAGUUUUCGGUUCGGCCGGACGAAACACAGGUGCUGCAUGGCUGUCGUCAGCUCGUGUCGUGAGAUGUUGGGUUAAGUCCCGCAACGAGCGCAACCCUCACUUUUAGUUGCCAUCAUUAAGUUGGGCACUCUGAAAGAACUGCCAGUGAUAAGCUGGAGGAAGGUGGGGAUGACGUCAAGUCCUCAUGGCCCUUACGUGUUGGGCUACACACGUGCUACAAUGGCAUCUACAACAGGAAGCAAAACGGCAACGUUAAGCAAAUCCCGAAAAGAUGCCUCAGUUCGGAUUGCACUCUGCAACUCGAGUGCAUGAAGCUGGAAUUACUAGUAAUCGUGGAUCAGCGUGCCACGGUGAAUGCGUUCCCGGGUCUUGUACACACCGCCCGUCACACCAUGGGAGUUGGUUCUACCUUAAGGCAAGGUUUUAAACCCUUGACCACGGUAUAGUCAGCGACUGGGGUGAAGUCGUAACAAGGUAACC
This 1460-nucleotide ribosomal RNA is filed under the name uncultured marine bacterium. RNAcentral describes it as "16S ribosomal RNA". It matches the Rfam family "Bacterial small subunit ribosomal RNA". The record is from RNAcentral.